ACGGAGGGUGCAAGCGUUGUUCGGAAUCACUGGGCGUAAAGCGCGUGUAGGCGGCUUGACAAGUCGAAUGUGAAAGCCCGGGGCUCAACCUCGGAAGUGCAUUCGAAACUGUCAGGCUUGAGUACGGGAGAGGGAAGUGGAAUUCCUGGUGUAGAGGUGAAAUUCGUAGAUAUCAGGAGGAACACCGGUGGCGAAGGCGGCUUCCUGGACCGAUACUGACGCUGAGACGCGAAAGCGUGGGGAGCAAACAG
Molecule: ribosomal RNA, 251 nt
Filed under: uncultured prokaryote
Description: partial 16S ribosomal RNA
Rfam family: Bacterial small subunit ribosomal RNA
Source: RNAcentral